CCGGUCCCUUCCCGGGCCCGGAGCGCGAGGCCCCGCCCAGGACCGCCGCGCGUCUGCAGGCGGGGUCGGCCGCCUCUGGGUCCCGCUUGAAAUUCUGUAGAAGCCUGAAAGCUCGCGGAGCGCGGACUCCGAGUGAGUUUGAGGAUGUGUGCGGCUGGUGGCUGCGCCGGGGCCCCCGCGGAGAAGGUGGGGGGCCCCGACACCCGCUUGCUUGGACCGUGCGCUAUGAGAAGAUGAGGAAACUGAGGCACUGAGGACUUCAGGAACUUGCCCACUGUUUCACAGCCAGGAAGAGGCAGAUUGCAGAUUUGGAGCCCAGAGAGUGCUGUUCUUAGUGUACACUGCCUCCUUGAUGCUGCUGGUCUCCCCUGGUGCCACCUCCAGCUUCGGGCUCCAGAACCUUCACGGUCAGGCUCUGGGUUCUGACCUUUUCCUGUCUUCAGCAACUAAAGAAUAAGAAGCAGGCAGAGACACAGAUGCUCCACGGCAGCCCUCCACCGACACCCAGCAAGCGGCGAGGUCUGGCACCCAGCACUCUGGGCAAAGUGCGCAAGGUGUCAUUACUUCUACCAGUUUGAGGAGAAAAACACCCGCUGGUGUCAAGCCUGGAACCAAUGAGAAGAACCUGGAGCUCAUUGGCAGCAUCCUCAGUGGUGGGUACCCUGACUAACCCCAGCCCUCGGCGCAACUCCAGCAUUAAUUCUGUUGCCAGCACCUAUUCUGAGUUUGUGGCAAUUCACCUUUUCUAAUAUCCACCAGUCCCUGGGGAGCACACAGUUAGAGCAGAGUGGGUAUCUUUUCAAGGACACCCAAGCUAUUAGUUAGGACAGUACUUUGAAGGCUGAGACUCACUUUCCUGCCUUGACCAUGAUAUGAGGGGUGGUAGUUUAAGGGAGGUAUCUAGGAGGGAAGAUGGCAGCAGCAACCAGGCAUUUCACCUGGAUCCUUCUGCUUAAGAAAUAACUUUCACUGGCUGCAGGAGAUGACCCUGCUAAUUGCUGCCCUGGUGCUCUCUUGGUGGAGUUCUUGGUAAUUGUCUUAAUUCUUUGUUCUUAGAAGGAUCCGUCCCUUUCUGACAGCUCCACUGUUGGGCUUCAGGUCUGUAUGGCAACCCCUGCAUGUCCCCUUUUCAAACUGAUCUGUCAUCUGCCAGCUUCAUUACCGUCUGGACAUAGGGCUACACUAACCAGUCUCAGCUGUACAAGCUCAUAAAAACCUUUUUUUUUACAAAGGAAGUAGAAAUUCCUAACAUAGAUUUCAAAAAUAAUAACUAUCUGGUUUAAAUUCCCAACCUGCUGAUUAACUUAUUCAGACUUGGAUUCUCAGCCCAUGUAAAGUCAGGCUGGGUCGGAGUUCCCGUUGUGGCCCAGUGGUUAACGGCUCCAACUAGGAGCCACGAGGUUGUGGGUUAAGGAUCCGGUGUUGCCGUGAGUUGUGGUGUAGGUCGCAGACGUGGCUCGGAUCCCGAGUUGGCUGUGGCUGUGGCGUAGGCCGGUGGCUAUAGCUCCAAUUAGACCCCUAGCCUGGAACCUCCACAUGCCACAAGUGCCGCCCUAAAAAAGACAAAAAAAAAAAAAAAAAAAAA
This 1585-nucleotide long non-coding RNA is filed under the name Sus scrofa (pig). RNAcentral's name for it is "lncRNA (ENSSSCG00035020773.1)". The record is from RNAcentral. Lineage: Eukaryota; Metazoa; Chordata; Mammalia; Artiodactyla; Suidae.